GACGAACGCUGGCGGCGUGCCUAAUACAUGCAAGUCGAGCGAGUCUGCCUUGAAGAUCGGAGUGCUUUCACUCUGUGAAACAAGAUACAGGCUAGCGGCGGACGGGUGAGUAACACGUGGGUAACCUGCCCAAGAGAUCGGGAUAACACCUGGAAACAGUUGCUCAUACCGGAUAACAACAGAUGAUGCCUAUCAACUGUUUAAAAGAUGGUUCUGCUAUCACUCUUGGAUGGACCGGCGGUGCAUUAGCUAGUUGGUAGGGUAACGGCCUACCAAGGCGAUGAUGCAUAGCCGAGUUGAGAGACUGAUCGGCCACAUUGGGACUGAGACACGGCCCAAACUCCUACGGGAGGCAGCAGUAGGGAAUCUUCCACAAUGGACGCAAGUCUGAUGGAGCAACGCCGCGUGAGUGAAGAAGGGUUUCGGCUCGUAAAGCUCUGUUGUUGGUGAAGAAGGACAGGGGUAGUAACUGACCUUUGUUUGACGGUAAUCAAUUAGAAAGUCACGGCUAACUACGUG
This 519-nucleotide ribosomal RNA is filed under the name uncultured bacterium. RNAcentral describes it as "partial 16S ribosomal RNA". It matches the Rfam family "Bacterial small subunit ribosomal RNA", at positions 28 to 507 of the family's 1533-position model. The record is from RNAcentral.